Non-coding RNA from Lepisosteus oculatus (spotted gar), 732 nucleotides. NCBI's taxonomy places the organism in Eukaryota, Metazoa, Chordata, Actinopteri, Semionotiformes, Lepisosteidae. The record is from RefSeq and is a predicted model, not a curated record.
AAAACUCACUCUCUCUCCAAACCGUCUUCAAAAUCCUUCUCCGUGUACUACAGGUUGCUUCGCUUGAUAUCAACAAACUUAAAUUGUUUCAGCUUCUAAAAAGAACGACGUACAUCUUACAGCGCUGGCUGUGCUGCGGGUUAAAAAUAUCAGACCGAAUAACUCACGCCAGGACUAGUUAAUAUGUGCAAUCGACUGUUCUUCGACAGAAACUAAAUCAGCGAUGCACUGCACGUCACCUUGGCCAACUUCAUUUCCAUGCAGAGGACCUGUUGUCAUGUAAGCAAGCACAGAGAGCAGGACAAGCCUCCAUGUCAUCUUGGACAGAGUCCUCUGGUAUCUAGGUGUCUAGGUAAGAUUCUUCCAGCUUCUGUCUUUCUAUGAAGCCAACAAUGGUGUCUUUCGGAUUCACCUGAAGAGCUUCAUGAGGCACAGGAUUUUCAUGUUGUGAAAUCUCCCAACUAUGGUUGCUUGGCGAAAACAAACUUGCUGCCUGCUGAAGAUGUCUACAUUCUGACCUACAGCUGAUCAAACAUUUCUACAGGUGAUCGAUGUGAGGAGGGAGUUAUUUCACUCCUUGCUCAGUCCACGAAGGAAUAAGAGGGGCUGAGUGUCGCUCAGUGGUGAGAGCUGAACGGGACAAAGACCUGUUUGUGCCUGACUUGUACAAACCCAGAUUUACCAGAAACCCACUCAGACCUACAGUCAUCAGUGAGUGGAGUGCACCCAAAG